RNAcentral lists this transfer RNA (63 nucleotides) under Physconelloides eurysema. Its description in RNAcentral is "tRNA-Tyr". Lineage: Eukaryota; Metazoa; Arthropoda; Insecta; Psocodea; Philopteridae. The record is from RNAcentral.
GGAAUAUUAGUUUAAUAAAAAUGUCAUACUGUAAAUAUGGAGAUGGGGAAAUCUUAUAUUCCA